GUAGGUGGCAAGCGUUGUCCGGAAUUAUUGGGCGUAAAGCGCGCGCAGGCGGUCCUUUAAGUCUGAUGUGAAAGCCCACGGGCUCAACCGUGGAGGGUCAUUGGAAACUGGGGGACUUGAGUACAGAAGAGGAAAGCGGAAUUCCAAGUGUAGCGGUGAAAUGCGUAGAGAUUUGGAGGAACACCAGUGGCGAAGGCGGCUUUCUGGUCUGUAACUGACGCUGAGGCGCGAAAGCGUGGGGAGCAAACAGGAUUAGAUACCCUGGUAGUCCACGCCGUAAACGAUGAGUGCUAAGUGUUAGGGGUUUCCGCCCCUUAGUGCUGCAGCUAACGCAUUAAGCACUCCGCCUGGGGAGUACGGCCGCAAAGGCUGA
This 373-nucleotide ribosomal RNA is filed under the name uncultured organism. RNAcentral describes it as "partial 16S ribosomal RNA". It matches the Rfam family "Bacterial small subunit ribosomal RNA", at positions 527 to 897 of the family's 1533-position model. The record is from RNAcentral.